UACGUAGGGGGCGAGCGUUGUCCGGAAUUACUGGGCGUAAAGCGCACGUAGGUGGCUAUCUAAGAUGGGCGUGAAAUCUCCGGGCUCACCUCGGAGGGGUCGUCCGUGACUGGGUGGCUUGGGGCUGGUAGAGGCAGGUGGAAUUCCCGGUGGAGCGGUGAAAUGCGUAGAGAUCGGGAGGAACACCAGUGGCGAAGGCGACCUGCUGGGCCAGUACCGACGCUGAGGUGCGAAAGCCAGGGGAGCAAACGGG
Molecule: ribosomal RNA, 253 nt
Filed under: uncultured bacterium
Lineage: Bacteria
Description: partial 16S ribosomal RNA
Rfam family: Bacterial small subunit ribosomal RNA
Source: RNAcentral